GUGAAUCAUCGAAUUUUUGAACGCAAAUUGCACUUUCUGGUAUUCCGGAAAGUAUGCCUGUUUGAGGGUCAGUUAAAUAAAAAUGGUGGUUUUGCUGGCCUUUGUGGUGACGCGUCGGGAUUGGGUCGGCUUUACUUUGGUUUAAGGGCUUAAAAAUUUUUGCUGAUUUUUGGACGGAUUUUAAACGCUUUAGGUCGUUUGAGAU
This 205-nucleotide unclassified non-coding RNA is filed under the name Glomus sp. Its description in RNAcentral is "partial contains 5.8S ribosomal RNA and internal transcribed spacer 2". The stretch from base 1 to 71 matches the Rfam family "5.8S ribosomal RNA", at positions 84 to 154 of the family's 154-position model. Lineage: Eukaryota; Fungi; Glomeromycota; Glomeromycetes; Glomerales; Glomeraceae. The record is from RNAcentral.